AGCCAUCUCAAGCUGUUUGCUUUCCUGAGUCUUUACUCCUCCAAUAGCCACUGUUUCACGUCGCGGGGACCCAGCCUUAUGUCCAUCCUCAUUCAUAGAAGAAAUAGCUGCAUUGACAGAUGAAUCAUGAGCACAUAAACUCAAUGAAUGCUCCAGGUUCCUCUCAGGAAGCAUAGGUACUCAAAAAUCACCUUCACUCGUGUAAGUCACAUGACGCAAGUAUCAUUUCUACAAACAAGAAUAGAUAGUUUGAUACAGUACAGGAGACGCUCAACGAUUUCACCGCUUCUGUCGGAUACUUUUUGAGCUGGCCAGCACAGCUACUGAGAACUUGUUUUGCCUGCCUCUGUGAUAUUUGGGGAACCUGAAGACAAUAAGUGGAAAGACUUAAACAAAAGAGAUUGGUUGCUUGGUUUCUGAAUUAAAAAUGCUUUCUUCUUCGGGGGGCUGCAUGAAGAAACAGUAGCUAUUCCAGCGUCAUUACAAGAACAGCGAGUUUAUCUCAUAACAACAGUUCAUAUCUAAAUUCCACCGACACAAA
This is a long non-coding RNA of Camelina sativa (false flax), 541 nucleotides long. RefSeq lists it as uncharacterized. The record is from RefSeq and is a predicted model, not a curated record. NCBI's taxonomy places the organism in Eukaryota, Viridiplantae, Streptophyta, Magnoliopsida, Brassicales, Brassicaceae.